GAUGAACGCUAGCGGGGGGCCUAACACAUGCAAGUCGAACGAACCUUCGGGUAAGUGGCAAACGGGUGCGUAACACGUGCUUAAUCUGCCCUGGAGUGGGGGAUAACGUCGGAAACGGCGCUAAUCCCGCAUAAUCUCUACAAAAUGAAAAUAUGUAGAGGAAAGAUUUAUCGCUCUAGGAGGAGGGCGCGGCCUAUUAGCUAGUUGGUGAGGUAAUAGCUCACCAAGGCUACGAUGGGUAGCUGGUCUGAGAGGAUGAUCAGCCACAAUGGAACUGAGACACGGUCCAUACCACUACGGUGGGCAGCAGUGGGGAAUCUUGCACAAUGGACGAAAGUCUGAUGCAGCCACCCCGCGUGGAGGAUGAAGCAUUACGGUGUGUAAACUCCUUUUUUGGAGGAAGACGACUGACGGUACUCCAAGAAUAAGCGACGGCUAACUACG
Molecule: ribosomal RNA, 444 nt
Filed under: uncultured bacterium
Lineage: Bacteria
Description: bacterial SSU rRNA
Rfam family: Bacterial small subunit ribosomal RNA
Source: RNAcentral